GCUUCCUUGGUGUAGUUGGUUAUCACGUAGGUCUCAUAUAAUUUAUGAUCCAGUCGUUAGAUUGGGAUAUCCUAAGGUCAGCAGUUCGAUCCUGCUAGGGAGCA
Molecule: transfer RNA, 104 nt
Filed under: Heterodermia speciosa
Lineage: Eukaryota; Fungi; Ascomycota; Lecanoromycetes; Caliciales; Physciaceae
Description: tRNA-Met
Source: RNAcentral